AUUGGAAACCUGCCUGAAUUCCCUGGGGUUGAGGUUCUGCCUAAAUAUCCUGGAACUUGCCAUCUACCAAAAUUCCCUUGAGCUGGGGGUCUACGUGAACUUUCAGGAAUUAGGAUGCUACCUGAAUUCCCUGGCAUCAGGGAUCUCCCCAAAUUUCCUGGAGCUGAAAUAUCCCGGAGCUGAGGAUCUGCGGAAAUUUUUUGGAGGAGUGGGAUCUGCCUUAAUCCCCUGGAUCUGGGGCUCUACCUGCAUUUCCUGGCUUUGGGGUUCUCCCUAAAUUCCCUGGAUUUGGGGAUCCACUUAAAUUCGAAACCUGCCAAAAUUCCCUGGGGGUUGGGGUUCUGCCUAAAUAUCCUGGAGCUGGGAUCUGCCUGUAUCUCCUGGAGCCUGCGAUCUCUCUAAAUUCCUGGAGCUGGCAGUCUAAGUGUCUUUCCUGGCUUUGGGGCUCUACCCAAAUUCCCUGGAUUUGGGGAUCCACCUAAAUUGGAAACCUGCCUAAAUCCCCUGGGGUUCUGCCUAAAUAUCCUGGAACUUGCCAUCUACCAAAAUUCCCUGGACAUGGAGGCCUAUGUGAAUUUUCAGGAGUUAGGAUGCUAUCUGAAUUCCCUGGUGUCAGGGAUCUGGUCAAAUUUCCAGGAGUUGGGAAUGCACCAAAAUAUCCCAGAGCUGAGGAUCUGCUGGAAUUCCCUGGAGGUGGGGGAUCUUCCUAAGUGGGAAUCUGCCUCAAUCCCCCAGAGGGAUUUAGGGGCUUUACUUGCAUUUCCUGGCUUUGGGGCUCUGCCUAAAUUCCCUGGAUUUGGGGAUCCACCUAAAUUGGAAAUCUGCCUAAAUUCCCUGAGGUUGAGGUUCUGCCUAAAUAUCCUGGAGCUGGGAUCUGCCUGAAUGCCCUGGAGUUUGUGAUCUCCCUGAAUCUCCUGGUGCUGGACUUCUGCCUAAAGCUGAGGAUCUACAGGUUGAUUUUGUUUGGUUUGAGGUUUUUUUCUUCCUUAAUUUAUGAAGCCAACCCUGGAAGGAAUAUGUGGGGGCCCGAGAGCAGGAAAAACCCCAAAUACCCCCCCAAAAAAUAAUAAGAGGAAGUCCCCAAUGCAGCAGGAAAAAGGAAAGAAGUGAGGAAACCCCAGCUGGCAGCAGCCAAAGUGGUUCUCAGAGGCCCAACAGAAAUUUGUAACUUCGUUUAAAUUUUCAAAAUAAUCUUUAUUUUUGGUUUUUAGUAUAAAAAUCCACAAGUUCAGUGCAGCACAGAGAGUCCGAGAGCUGAGCUCGGGAACAGUCAGGGACGGUCACACACACGCAGAACACAGAUUCGGAUUAAAGUGAAAUAUUUAAGAUAAAAUAAAAGCGAAUCUGAGCUCUUUCUUCA
This 1360-nucleotide long non-coding RNA is filed under the name Junco hyemalis (dark-eyed junco). RNAcentral describes it as "lncRNA (ENSJHYG00000004122.1)". The record is from RNAcentral. Lineage: Eukaryota; Metazoa; Chordata; Aves; Passeriformes; Passerellidae.